AAGCGAUAGAGGGAUUUACAGCUCUGAUGAGGUGAAAAUAUCGAACAGGAUUUACUUAAUAGAACUGUGACGUAUACCAAGAGACCCAAAGAUGACCUAAGAUGAAGAUGAUGAUAAUGGCGGUUCUACAGCUGAGGCUCACCUGGGCUGCACACCUGUUGUCAAAGACAGAAACCUGGGUUCGCGGUCACAUAGUUCAGCCGCGGACGUACCACCAUGGAUACACGGUUUAACCUGGCGGACCAGAGAGAGCACGUCCAAGGUAUGUCAGGUUGAUACGGAAUGUACUAGUGUCAGUGAGCAUUUAUUGGCAGAUGACCUUGCCGAAAUGUCCCUUUCUCAGCCAAAUUCGUCAGAUCUCUUUGCUAA
This is a long non-coding RNA of Pecten maximus, 369 nucleotides long. RefSeq lists it as uncharacterized. Lineage: Eukaryota; Metazoa; Mollusca; Bivalvia; Pectinida; Pectinidae. The record is from RefSeq and is a predicted model, not a curated record. The transcript has 3 exons.